Non-coding RNA from Lolium perenne, 609 nucleotides. The record is from RefSeq and is a predicted model, not a curated record. Lineage: Eukaryota; Viridiplantae; Streptophyta; Magnoliopsida; Poales; Poaceae.
AGAUGAUGACAUGCACAACAGAGAUAGAAAUUUGUUACUUUAAAUGCUUGGACCAUCAUAUGAAGAAAUUCUUGCUGCAUAUACUAGGCGAUGUCUAGGCGAUGUCCAGUUCCAUCCAAUUUUCGGUAUGUCAUGAAGUUCAUCAAGAAAUUGCAGCAGGAUAUCCCUGGGCCCUGGCCAUGGAGUAAAUGAUCAGCUUCAGAACCUUUGCAACGUCUAAAUGCUCUAUCUUCUCCACAGGAACCUGGGCAACUUCCAUCUAACAAUUAUAUCUGAUUUUACAAAGAAGGUGCCCUUAUAUGGCAGUUCGUAGCUGAUGCACUUGGCAUAUGAGUUUUACCAAUAACUUUUGACAGUUCAUAUCCGAUUCCAAGUGAUGAAUUUCUUCUGAGGUGUGUAGUUACCAUGUAUUGCUCUGUGUUUAUAGCACCAGCAGGAACUUGAGCUGAGCAGUACAUGAGGGAGAUUAAUUUCAGGUACCAUCAGGGUAUAAUUUUUUUUGCCCAAAUGCCAUUCACUUUCAGGGUGCAGCCCAGCCACCCCAAUCAGCGGGAAGACAAGUAAACCACUGAAUCCUGUUGGGGCCUAUAUGAACUAAUGCUCCUUUAC